ACUGCAAUUGUUGUAUCCUUAGAACAUCUUUCGAAGAAAGAUGAGGCAAACAGUGAGCCUGAGUGCUGGGGGAGCUGGUGUGCCAGCGUCAGGGUCCUCCUGCUUCCAGGACCUGCUCCAUCCCCAGGCAGCUGAGGCUGCGGGACCCCAUGGUGAAAUGGGUGAAUAUCAGACAGCUCAUUACAGAGACAAGCAUGCUGCGUUCCCAAAGUAAGAUGACAGAACAAGUCAUGAUGUCUUCUGAAGGAYCUCCUGAAGUAAGGGAUAAAAAAGGAAAUGAAAUUAUAUUCAUGUCCUCUGUUUGUACCCAGACUGAUGGAAAGAAGAAAGGAUGGGUA
This 338-nucleotide long non-coding RNA is filed under the name Dromaius novaehollandiae (emu). RNAcentral describes it as "lncRNA (ENSDNVG00000004693.1)". Lineage: Eukaryota; Metazoa; Chordata; Aves; Casuariiformes; Dromaiidae. The record is from RNAcentral.